RNAcentral lists this unclassified non-coding RNA (335 nucleotides) under soil metagenome. RNAcentral's name for it is "partial contains 5.8S ribosomal RNA, internal transcribed spacer 2, and large subunit ribosomal RNA". The stretch from base 1 to 120 matches the Rfam family "5.8S ribosomal RNA", at positions 35 to 154 of the family's 154-position model. The record is from RNAcentral.
GAUGAAGAACGCAGCGAAAUGCGAUAAGUAAUGUGAAUUGCAGAAUUCAGUGAAUCAUCGAAUCUUUGAACGCACAUUGCGCCCGCCAGUAUUCUGGCGGGCAUGCCUGUUCGAGCGUCAUUUCAACCAUCAAGCCCCCGGCUUGUGUUGGGGACCUGCGGCUGCCGCAGGCCCUGAAAACCAGUGGCGGGCUCGCUAGUCACUCCGAGCGUAGUAAUACAUCUCGCUCAGGGCGUGCUGCGGGUUCCGGCCGUUAAAAAGCCUUAUUUACCCAAGGUUGACCUCGGAUCAGGUAGGAAGACCCGCCGAACUUAAGCAUAUCAAUAAGCGGAGGA